RNAcentral lists this long non-coding RNA (2808 nucleotides) under Sus scrofa (pig). RNAcentral describes it as "lncRNA (ENSSSCG00035005172.1)". The record is from RNAcentral. Lineage: Eukaryota; Metazoa; Chordata; Mammalia; Artiodactyla; Suidae.
GUGGCAACCGGCAACGUCCCUGCCGGCGGCGGCUCUGCUGCCUGGGGCCGGGACUGAGCAGGACAGCGGUGUGGCACAGGACCUCUGCUUGACCCUGCUAGAGAGUGGGGUGCCUAAGAAAGAAACCUGCAAAUUUAAGCCCCUGAAUCUGUAGACCGACUCUUAAGCACAGCGGGAUCUAACCUGUGCUGGCUGAAAUGCCAGGCAACUCGAGUUCAUCUUCAUCAGUCCCGCCUCUUCGGAUGCUGGCUGCGCUGCUCGCAACUGGGGGGGAAGCGCUACAUGCAGGGAGUCUCGCUAGGAGCUGGACGCCUUCCAGCUUCCAUCUCAUACAUUUUCACAAUAAGCGGAAAGGCGAGUGUCAAUAACCGCACUUUCCCUGUAAGAACCGAGAAGGGAAGUGACUUGCCCCAGCUCCCCGGCUCGCAGCAGAGCUGAGACAGGAAGACAGGUUUUCUGAAUAUCACACGAAGCUGGGCAGGGCCUCCUGUUACUGCUUAGAAACCAAGGGGCCUGAGCCGUGGGAAGCUUUCUUUCAGCAUGGUCCCCCACUUAGAGGUGACUGUCACCCUCCCACUAAAUGGCGAGGAAAUAAAUCCUUGGCAUGCAGCCCCUGAAAGGUUGUCCCAAACGGGGAACACCCGAGGCGGAGUCCAGCCCUUUCCUGCACAGGGAGGUCUUUACAACACGGAUUUUCCAAGGCAAUCGGAUGCCUCUGCAGUCUAAUCUCAAAAGUAUUUUCUUACUGAAAAGAAAUCUGCGCUUUUGUCUGGCUCACCCCCAGAACGCAAUCCCAGAGUUUGUAAGUCAAAGCUACAUAUUGACUUGAUUGCAGAUUGCUGUCUCUGAUGCAAAAAGGUUGAUCUUUGUAAAGCUGGUCUUCGAAGAACCAGACUAGCCUGGAUUCGGUGCGUCGCAUAUGUUUUAUGCCUCAGCAGCUGAACCAGAGUCACUGCAGUAAACUGAGUUCAUCGGUUUGGCCAGAUCCUGGACUUGCGGGUACAGGGGAAGAAGAGCGGCCACCUCCCACAGCGGGACCGAGGGACCCGUGUGCCCACCUCCCCCUUUGGGUACCUGACUGGGGCCACCGCUUUGGGGUAAAUCAGUACAGAGAUCAGUGUGGGCCGUAAGGUGGAGAGGGUCCCUUGAUUCAAGGAGCAGAGAACCACGGAAGCCAAAGAGAGGGUUUCCCACCUGUGAGACCCUUGGGCCAGAAAGCCGGUCGGGGCUUGAGGCAGCUGCACGGAUGGGCAGUUCUCUUUGCUCUCUUGUGGCUGUACCAUCCCAUGCUGUGCUUUCUCUUGCCUUUCACAAGAUGUGUCUGCUCUAUUUUCCUGUCUUUAUUAACAGGCCGGUUCCUCAAUCCAGAUGCCAGAAAGAGCUAGUCCAGAAGCCUUUGCUUACGGACCUGGUGACAUGGCCUUUUUGGGUAGCGCUCUUGGCCAAAGGCAUCGUCACGAGCCAUUAGGCAGCUCAUGGAUAGGCUGCCUCAGGCCAGGUGCCCGCCUCCGUCCCCUCAGUGGUCACUGAUGCACAGACACCGCCUAAUGUGACUCUCCUGAUCCAGGGGGCUGUGGCCAGGGCAGUUCAUACCAGAAGCAAGCAUUAGGGAACAAGCUGUGAGACUUGUGUGUACCUUGAGUCCAGGGCCGUCACCCAGAACUCAGCUUGGCCAGCGGCCCCCAGAUUUCCUCAUCUGUAAAUAGGGGGAUGGUGACACCUGGUUCAUGGGGUCGUCGUGAGACUUAAACCGACUGAUGGACAAUAUUAUACUAGCGAUAUUAUUAUCAGAAAGGGAUAACCCCAAGCCAUUUUGACCCAUCUGGCUUCUCAGACAGCCUGGCCAUUCAUCUAAAGAGAAAAACAGCGGCAGAAAGCAAGUAACCAGUGCGGACAGCUCGGGGAUGGGCAGCUCCUGCUUUCCUGAGGGAGGAGGGGUCAGGGCAGCCAGGAGUCCUGUGCCCGGGGUCCCACAGGACUGCGGGUGCGUGGACUGUGAGUGCGGGACAGUGUGUGUGUGUGUGUGUGUGUGGAAUGAGUGGCAGAUAAGAGACGACCCCUCCUCUUCCUCUGUUCAGAGCCUCUCCUGUCCACCUUUUCACCACGGCCCUCUCUACCUUUCGUUUUCAUUUUCUUGGAGCACAGCUGAUUUACAGCGUCGUGGUAGAUUCGCAUGCACAGCCACGGGAUUCAUGUGUGUAGGAAGAGGUAUGUUCUUUUUCAUAUUCUUUUCCCGCAGAGGUUGUUAUAAGCUAUUGAGUCGAGGUCCCCGGGCUACACAGCAUAUCCUCGUUGCUCAUCUAUUUCCUAUACUGUAGUGUGUGUGUGUGUGCAGCCCGACCUCUUAAUUUAACCUCUCGCCCCUUCCCCGCAGUGGGUAAGCGUUUUCUGUGUCUGUGGGUCUGUUUCUGUUCAUUUGUGUAUAUACGUGUUUUUAGAUUCCACAUAGGUGAUAGCACAUGGUCUUUGUCUUUCUCUCUACGUUUCUUCAAAGAGAAAGAGAAAAGUAGACAGGACAUUUAAAAAGCAAUGCAGAGUUGAGGGAGUUCCCAUCAUGGCUCAGUGGUUAACAAAUCCGACUAGGAACCAUGGGGUUGCGGGUUCCAUCCCUGGCCUGGAUCAGUGGGUUAAAGAUCUGGUGUUGCCGUGAGCUGUGGUGUAGGUCGCAGACGCGGCUCGGAUCCCGCGUUGCUGUGGCUCUGGCGAAGGCCGGCGGCUACGGCUCCGAUUCGACCCCCAGCCUGGAAACCUCCACAUGCCAUGGGUGCGGCCCUAGAAGAGACAAAAAAAAAAAAAAAAAAAAAAAAA